Nerophis ophidion (straightnose pipefish) is the source of this 529-nucleotide long non-coding RNA. RefSeq lists it as uncharacterized. The record is from RefSeq and is a predicted model, not a curated record. NCBI's taxonomy places the organism in Eukaryota, Metazoa, Chordata, Actinopteri, Syngnathiformes, Syngnathidae. The transcript has 2 exons.
UGUUGUGCCGAAUUCUGCACCCCCGCCGUAAAAUGCACCCCCUGUCGGGAGCGCGCUUACGUCACUCGGUUGCAUCACCCGUCUCGAAAAGUAGCUAAACUCGGCUAAAAUCGCCUCUUUCGGCAUAAAAAUGUACAUAACAAGGUGAAUAAUCCAAGUUGUCCUUACUUUGGAUAUAUUAAUGGAUGGAUUAAUUGUGAUUCUUUAAUGAUUUCGCCGCCAUUGCCUUUAAUGAUUUCGUCGUCAUUCAAUCGCCUCUUUCGGCAGAAAAAUGUACAUAACAAGGUGAAUAAUCCAAGUUGUCUUUACUUUGGAUAUAUUAAUGGAUGGAUUAAUUGUGAUUCUUCAAUGAUUUCGCCGUCAUUGCCUUUAAUGAUUUCGUCGUCAUUCAGAGACAUCAAGGAGAACGAAUGUUUGCUGCUUCACUCGACGGGAUCCAAUACAUGUAUUUUAAAAAUAUGACAUUUUCUUUAACUGUAAGAAGCUCAUGGGUGGAUGGAUGAAUACAUUAAUAAAUGAAUGCAUCUGA